RNAcentral lists this ribosomal RNA (253 nucleotides) under uncultured bacterium. RNAcentral describes it as "partial 16S ribosomal RNA". It matches the Rfam family "Bacterial small subunit ribosomal RNA", at positions 524 to 776 of the family's 1533-position model. The record is from RNAcentral.
GACAGAGGUGCCGAGCGUUAGGCGGAAUCACUGGGCUUAAAGCGUGUGUAGGCGGGCGAUCAAGUACCUUGUGAAAUCCCACGGCUCAACCGUGGAACCGCUGGGUAUACUGGUUGUCUUGAGCCGGCUAGGGGCGAGCGGAACAGACGGUGGAGCGGUGAAAUGCGUAGAUAUCGUCUGGAACGCCGAAGGUGAAAACAGCCCGCUGGGGCCGCGCUGACGCUGAGACACGAAAGCCAGGGGGGCGAACGGG